This 449-nucleotide ribosomal RNA is filed under the name uncultured bacterium. Its description in RNAcentral is "bacterial SSU rRNA". It matches the Rfam family "Bacterial small subunit ribosomal RNA", at positions 329 to 792 of the family's 1533-position model. The record is from RNAcentral.
UUCCAGACUCCUACGGGAGGCAGCAGUGGGGAAUAUUGGGCAAUGGAGGCAACUCUGACCCAGCAACGCCGCGUGAGUGAUGAAGGUCUUCGGAUUGUAAAACUCUUUAAGUGGGGACGAAGAAAGUGACUGUACCCACAGAAUAAGCCUCGGCUAACUACGUGCCAGCAGCCGCGGUAAUACGUAGGGGGCAAGCGUUAUCCGGAUUUACUGGGUGUAAAGGGAGCGUAGACGGCUGUGCAAGUCUGAAGUGAAAGCCCAGGGCUCAACCCUGGGACUGCUUUGGAAACUGUGGAGCUAGAGUGCUGGAGAGGUAAGUGGAAUUCCUAGUGUAGCGGUGAAAUGCGUAGAUAUUAGGAGGAACACCAGUGGCGAAGGCGGCUUACUGGACAGUAACUGACGUUGAGGCUCGAAAGCGUGGGGAGCAAACAGGAUUAGAUACCCGUGUA